AUACGGAGGGUGCAAGCGUUACUCGGAAUCACUGGGCGUAAAGCGCGCGCAGGCGGCUAUUUAAGUUGGAUGUGAAAGCCUACGGCUCAACCGUAGAACUGCAUCCAAAACUAUUUAGCUAGAGUGUGGGAGAGGAAGAUGGAAUUAGUUGUGUAGGGGUAAAAUCCGUAGAGAUAACUAGGAAUACCAAAAGCGAAGGCAAUCUUCUGGAACACUACUGACGCUGAGGCGCGAAGGCGUGGGGAGCAAACAGGAUUAGAAACCCUAGUAGUCC
This 274-nucleotide ribosomal RNA is filed under the name uncultured bacterium. Its description in RNAcentral is "partial 16S ribosomal RNA". It matches the Rfam family "Bacterial small subunit ribosomal RNA", at positions 523 to 796 of the family's 1533-position model. The record is from RNAcentral.